RNAcentral lists this transfer RNA (86 nucleotides) under Bacillota bacterium. RNAcentral's name for it is "tRNA-Leu". It matches the Rfam family "tRNA". From Rfam's summary of the family: Transfer RNA (tRNA) molecules are approximately 80 nucleotides in length. Their secondary structure includes four short double-helical elements and three loops (D, anti-codon, and T loops). RNAcentral also lists the same sequence under 3 other names. Lineage: Bacteria; Bacillati; Bacillota. The record is from RNAcentral.
GCGGGCGUGGCGGAACGGCAGACGCGCUGGACUUAGGAUCCAGUGGGUUAAUCCCCGUGAAGGUUCAAGUCCUUUCGCCCGCACCA